CCAUACCAUGCUGAAUAUACCGGUUCUCGUUAGAUCACCGAAGUCAAGCAUCAUUGGGCGCGGUCAGUACUUGGGUGGGUGACCACCUGGGAACACCGCGUGCCGCUG
This is a non-coding RNA of Caerostris extrusa, 108 nucleotides long. The record is from the annotation of a GenBank genome assembly. Lineage: Eukaryota; Metazoa; Arthropoda; Arachnida; Araneae; Araneidae.